ACCUUCUGUGGUGUAGUUGGUAGCGCCUUUGCUUAAUAAUUAUAAGUCUAGGGUUCAAAUCCCGUUUGGGGUA
Non-coding RNA from Halocaridina rubra (Hawaiian volcano shrimp), 73 nucleotides. NCBI's taxonomy places the organism in Eukaryota, Metazoa, Arthropoda, Malacostraca, Decapoda, Atyidae. The record is from the annotation of a GenBank genome assembly.